This 127-nucleotide small RNA is filed under the name Marmota monax (woodchuck). The record is from RNAcentral. Lineage: Eukaryota; Metazoa; Chordata; Mammalia; Rodentia; Sciuridae.
GCUGGGUGCAGUGGUGCCCACCUGUAAUCCCAGCAACUUGGGAGGCUGAAGCAGGAGGAUCGAGAGUUCAAAGCCAGCCUCGGCAGAUUAGUGAGGCACUUAGAAACUCAGCAAGACCUUGUCUCUA